Molecule: ribosomal RNA, 136 nt
Filed under: uncultured bacterium
Lineage: Bacteria
Description: partial 16S ribosomal RNA
Rfam family: Bacterial small subunit ribosomal RNA
Source: RNAcentral
UGAGCAAUCUGCCCUUCUCAUCGGAAUAAGCGUUGGAAACGACGUCUAAUGCCGAAUACGACCUCCUUUCGCAUGAUCGGAGGUGGAAAGCUCCGGCGGAGAAGGAUGAGCUCGCGGCCUAUCAGCUAGUUGGNGU